Molecule: ribosomal RNA, 359 nt
Filed under: Meloidogyne incognita (southern root-knot nematode)
Lineage: Eukaryota; Metazoa; Nematoda; Chromadorea; Rhabditida; Meloidogynidae
Description: partial 16S ribosomal RNA
Source: RNAcentral
ACUUUUAGCGUGAUUGGUCAAAGGUAGCGAGAUAAUUUGUUUUUUUAUUGGAUUCUAGUAUGAAUGGAUUUUUUGUUAUUAAAUAUAUUGAUUUUAAAAAGAAUUUUAAAUUUAUUUAAAAAAUAAUAAAUAAAAUAAAACUAAGAAAAGUCUUUAGAAAUUUAUUAUUUAAUUUAAUUAGGGAAAUAAAAUAAUUAAUAUUUUUUUCUUAAUCAAAAAAAAAAAUUUCUCUAGAGUUAACAGGAAUAAAUAUUGAUUUAUUAUUUUUACAUCGAUGUUGUUUUAUUUAAUAUUAAAAAUGAGAAACUUUUGAGUGAGAGACUGUUCUUCUUUUUUUAAUACGUGAAAUUAGUUUAAUU